UGGGGUUUGUAGCUCAGUGGUAGAGCACUUGUCUAGCAAAUGUGGGGCACUGGGUUCAAUCCUCAGAACCACAU
RNAcentral lists this transfer RNA (74 nucleotides) under Marmota monax (woodchuck). RNAcentral's name for it is "tRNA.Ala". It matches the Rfam family "tRNA". From Rfam's summary of the family: Transfer RNA (tRNA) molecules are approximately 80 nucleotides in length. Their secondary structure includes four short double-helical elements and three loops (D, anti-codon, and T loops). Further hydrogen bonds mediate the characteristic L-shaped molecular structure. tRNAs have two regions of fundamental functional importance: the anti-codon, which is responsible for specific mRNA codon recognition, and the 3' end, to which the tRNAs corresponding amino acid is attached (by aminoacyl-tRNA synthetases). tRNAs cope with the degeneracy of the genetic code in two manners: having more than one tRNA (with a specific anti-codon) for a particular amino acid; and 'wobble' base-pairing, i.e. permitting non-standard base-pairing at the 3rd anti-codon position. Lineage: Eukaryota; Metazoa; Chordata; Mammalia; Rodentia; Sciuridae. The record is from RNAcentral.